RNAcentral lists this unclassified non-coding RNA (322 nucleotides) under uncultured fungus. RNAcentral's name for it is "sequence contains ITS1". The stretch from base 1 to 105 matches the Rfam family "5.8S ribosomal RNA", at positions 50 to 154 of the family's 154-position model. The record is from RNAcentral. Lineage: Eukaryota; Fungi.
GAAAUGCGAUAAGUAGUGUGAAUUGCAGAAUUCAGUGAAUCAUCGAAUCUUUGAACGCACAUUGCGCCUCCUGGUAUUCCGGGAGGCAUGCCUGUUCGAGCGUCAUCAAAAUCCCUCAAGCUUGAAUUUAUUCAUGACUUGGUAUUGGAGUCGGAGUGGACACGUGCCAUUCCCAUCCGAAAGUCAAUGGCGAAGUUGUCUGCACCAAUUAAGCGUAGUAAUCAACUUUAUGUUUCGCUGUGAUGUAGAUAAACCUUCCGCCGUUAACCCCCCAUUUUAAGUGUUUGACCUCGGAUCAGGUAGGGAUACCCGCUGAACUUAA